UCCCUGGUGGUCCAGUGGCUAAGACUUCAACACUCCCAAGGCAAGGGCCCAGGUUCAAUCCCUGGUCAGGGAA
RNAcentral lists this transfer RNA (73 nucleotides) under Bos taurus (domestic cattle). It matches the Rfam family "tRNA". Rfam says of the family: Transfer RNA (tRNA) molecules are approximately 80 nucleotides in length. RNAcentral also lists the same sequence under 5 other names. Lineage: Eukaryota; Metazoa; Chordata; Mammalia; Artiodactyla; Bovidae. The record is from Rfam by way of RNAcentral.